UGGGGAUGUAGCUUAGUGGUAGAGUCCUUGUCUAGCAUGUAUGAGGCACCCUGGGUUCGAUCCCCAAUACUAA
Molecule: transfer RNA, 73 nt
Filed under: Marmota monax (woodchuck)
Lineage: Eukaryota; Metazoa; Chordata; Mammalia; Rodentia; Sciuridae
Description: tRNA.Ala
Source: RNAcentral